AAGGAGAGAGGGUCGUAAGGAGACUCGGGGCUAGGGUCGCGGAGGGAGUCGGGGAGUCUCAGGUUCUUGGUAGCGUGUGGUAAUUGAGCGGGGUUUGCUUGUCCUGCCGGGGGCUUCCGGGACAGGGCUGGCUUCUAGGGGUUUUGUAUUUGUUUUUCAAAGGGGAGAAGGUGUAAGGAGGGAAGAGAAUGACAGAAUACUGACUGGAACGCUAAUUGGAGAUUUUCAAAUGGGAAGAGCAGAAUAAUUCCAUAUUCUUCUUCCUUCAAUUGCUCCAUUAGGCAGGCUGACUAAUAUUUUGAAUUCUCAACUUUGAAAUCAGCCAGUGUGUUUGGCAGAUAUUGACCUAAUUUAGGGGUUAGAGUUUGAGCCAAUUUACAUGCAUUUUACUUAGGGCCCACAAUACAACCACUGUUUACGAUGGAACUUCUGCUGAAAACCUGUGUACUUAGAAGAAAUGCAUGUAUUGCGGUUUGCUUCUGGAGAAGCCAUGCUGUACAAAAGCCUUCAGUUAAAAAGAUUAGUACUACCUCUCCAAGGAGCACCGUCAUGCCCGCUUGGGUGAUAGAUAAAUACGGAAAGAACGAGGUGCUUCGAUUUACUCAGAACAUGAUGAUACCUGUCAUACACUAUCCAAAUGAAGUUAUUAUCAAAGUUCACGCCGCGAGUGUAAAUCCUAUAGAUGUUAAUAUGAGAAGUGGUUAUGGAGCUACAGCUUUAAAUAUGAAACGUGAUCCUCUACAUAUUAAAACCAAAGGAGAAGAAUUUCCCCUGACUCUGGGCCGGGACGUCUCUGGGGUGGUGAUGGAAUGUGGACUUGAUGUGAGGUACUUCAAGCCUGGAGAUGAGGUCUGGGCUGCAGUUCCUCCCUGGAAACAAGGCACUCUGUCAGAGUUCGUUGUAGUCAGUGGGAAUGAGGUCUCUCUGAAGCCCAAAUCACUCACUCAUACUCAAGCUGCCUCUUUGCCGUAUGUGGCUCUCACAGCCUGGUCUGCCAUACACAAGGUUGGCGGCCUGAAUGACAAGAAUUGCACAGGAAAACGUGUUUUAAUCUUGGGUGCUUCAGGUGGAGUUGGUACUUUUGCUAUACAGGUAAUGAAAGCAUGGGCUGCUCAUGUAACAGCAGUUUGCUCUCAGGAUGCGAGUGAACUUGUAAGGAAGCUCGGCGCAGAUGACGUAAUUGAUUACAGAUCUGGAAAUAUGGAAGAGCAGUUGAAAUCUUUAAAACCGUUUGAUUUCAUUCUUGAUAAUGUUGGUGGAUCCACUGAAACGUGGGCUCUAAAUUUUCUCAAGAAAUGGUCAGGAGCCACAUAUGUGACUUUGGUGACUCCUUUUCUCCUGAACAUGGACCGAUUGGGCAUAGCAGACGGCAUGUUGCAGACAGGAGUCACCAUGGGUUCUAAGACGUUAAAGCAUUUUUGGCAAGGAGUCCAUUAUCGCUGGGCUUUUUUCAUGGCCAGCGGUCUAUAUCUAGAUGACAUUGCAAAACUGGUGGACGAGGGAAAGAUUCAGCCAGUUAUUGAAAAAACCUUCCCUUUCUCUAAAGUUCCAGAAGCCUUCCUGAAGGUAGAAAGAGGACAUGCGAGAGGAAAGACUGUAAUUAAUGUCAUUUAAAUAAACUCUCAGUUUGGUGAUUAUUGGCUCUUAUUCGGUGAGUGCCUCUCAGCCCCAAAUUUCUAGUAGCCAUCACUUUCCAGAUUAGAUGAUGAGUUCCGUGAUACGCGUUUAAAAAUACAGACACCUAUUUGCCAGUAAUUUCUUGUUCUUUGAACUAAGCACAGAGAGUCCUUUUCUAGCCAUACCACCACCCUCUCUGCACAUCCCUGCUCGACAUCCGUGCAUUCUUGUUUGCCGAGAGGUCCUCUGACCCAAGCACCAGGGACACACGAGUAAGGAAGACAUGACAUGAAAAUAUCCACACUUGGACUUGUCUAUAAAGUCAGCGAAAAUUGCAUUGUUUUUUUCAAGCUGUUUUUCACACCAGAUUUGCACGUUGUUGUGGCAUCUUCUGUCCUAGUAGCUCAAAGUCUUUUAUUAAUGUUUGUGAGAUACUAAAACUUUUGGCAUAUGGGUGGAGGGCGGCAUGAAGAGCGUAAAGCUACUUCUUAAAAAAGUGCUCACUGAUGAAUCCAACUGGACAAGGCUUCUUUUGCUUUACUGUGGUCGUAACCACCCUCAAAGUUGUAAAUCUCUUAGGGUCACAUAUAAAAAUCUAGCUGAUUUGGUUGUUUAGUCUCAAGAAAAUGGAAGGUGAUGGUAAAGUUUCUAACUUUUUAAAACCCUUACAUUUAGCAUGAGGGCUAGGCCUCUUUCACCAACUAAAACAUGCUCCUCUGAGGACUUGUCCGUGGAAAUUGCAACCCUUCUCCAGUUUCUCACCUUAAAUGCCUGUACUUAGUUAUCUCGCCAAUAAGCCCAUUGCAGCUUUUGAAUCUCUAGUCUGUGACCUUCAUUCAAGGUAAGUGUUUAUUUCCUGUGGCAUUCCUCCUCGCUCCUGCACCUUAGAUACUAAGCUUUUAGCUUUGGACAUGGACUUGAGUAACCUGAUACUCAGUCUGUGCCUAUUACACACUCAUUUGGUAACACUGGAUGAGGGCUUUUCUCUGGAAUUGCUGGUCUCACCGGCCCAAAUACAUUUUAAGAGAAAGAAAGUGGUGUUCUCGUCAGUACUGGCCAUUUCUGACUUCCGUGUGAACAGUCCCAGCACUCUUCUUGAGGGCGCCGGGGUGGUAUAGCGAGGGGAGGGAAGGCCUCACUUACCCUCAUGUCCUCUCUCUUCACCAAGGAGUCUGGAAAGAAACUUUCCCCCGCCGUUAUCCAGCACUGCCUCCUCUCCGCAGUCAUCUGUGCCUAAUCUGCCCCGGUGAAGCGUUGAAAGGGCUACUGCAAGGACGCUCGCACAUCUCCUCAAUACAGUUAACCAGAAACCAGUUUAUUCGAGAUAAAUUCAAAACAGGCUACUGCAACAUGACCCCAGCACACUGUAGUGAUCCGCACGGAGGCCUAAAAUCGGAACUCCACAUCAUCUAAGAACAAGACCUGUUGGCAGCCGUUGGACAUGUGCAGGUGUUCCUUUAAAACCCAAGAUAAGCUACUGACCACAAGUGCCUAUCCAAGCCUCCAGGGAGGAGCAAUGGUUAGGAAGUGGAAACACUGGAACAGAUAAAAAGGAAAUGAGAUUUGUUCUUCCUGUGACCAGAGCACCAGUAUUAUUAACAAGGAUAAUGAAAUAUGGACAAAAGGGGGAAGAGUCUAUCCAAAGAACGUUCAGCAGUUUUGUUCAAAUGAGAAUACACUGUUUGAACCUAUGGGUCCGUGUAUUGUCAGCAGUUAAACUAUUUCAUUUUUCAUUGAGAUGCUGCAUUUUAGGGUUUUCAGAGUUCUAAAAUUUGACCAGCGUUGCUUAAGGCCUCCUUUCGUUCGCGUUUGGGAGAGAAUUGCUGGUCAUCAUCUUGUAGCCUUCCACCUCUUUUUACCGCUACCAGAAGGCAGUGGCCGCACUCCAUGCAGGCCUUGUGCCAAUGCAGCGGGAUAGGAAGGCAGGAAAUUAGGCUAAAGACUUGAGUUUAGCGAAGGAUUAUAUAACAUUUACUUCAGAACUAAUCGUAGAUGAGAGGAUAGGCUAGUAAAUUAGGUCACGGUAACACUGUUCCGUAGCAUCUGUAAGAAAAGCAUUAAACACCACUUAUUUGUGACAUUCUAGGCCAGCCCACAAGUGGGUUAAAAUAAUCCAAAUCCUGCUAAUGUUAGCAGACCUGACAAGAAAUCUUAUAAAUUUAUUAACUUUUAGUACUAAGAAAAUAGUAUUUUGUUUACUUAGUUCCUUAAAGUGUCAUAUAAGUCUUUCCCCACUUUGCUAUAGAGCAUAAUUGAUACAGAAAACAGUAGGACCAAAAUUAUUGGCCUGAUAUUUCUUCUCCGAUGCUAAACAAUCUUCUGCCUUACAAACUCGAGCUUUUCUCAUUCCCUUUACUUUUUAAUGUUUUUUUUUGUUUUGUUUUUUUUGUUUUGUUUUUUUUGAGAGCGUGUGAGCAGUGGAGUCUGGGAGACAAAGUAUCAAAGUGGGCUCUGUCCUGACAGCAGCAAGCCUGAUGCGGGGUUCCAGCUCAUGAACCAUGAGAUCAUGUCCUGAGCUGAAGUUGGAUGCUCAACCGACAGAACCAUCCAGAUUCUGCCAUCCGACUUCAUGCUCCAGAACUGACUGUCGACAUUCUGGUCAAGGGCCAGGCCCAGUUUGGAGCCUGAGGUCACGAGGCUCCCCACGAUUGUCAGGCAGCAGUCUUCUGCUAUCUGCUUACAGACAGAUAAGACUGCUUAGAGGUGAGACACAUUCAAGGAUCGUGAUCAGUUCUUGGCUCAAAGUGAUUUUUAAAGUUGUCUUAGUUGUAGUUUCAUUUACCCCACACGAGACACUUUCGCCAGAGGAACUGGGAUCAAACAACAAAUACUUAUGCCCUCACUUCAGAUGACACGAGUGCCAGAAAGUUCAAGAUUUCUCCCCUUUGUAAGGGAAACCUUAGAACAUUUUUCCCAUUCAGAAAUGACAAUGAUGUGAGGCUGGGUCUGUGGCUCUAUCUCCCCUGGCCUAACCAUCUCUGCUUAGCCUGACCCUUCUGGAAUGUGACUGCAUUUCUAAUUUGAAAGGCUGCUAUAACACUGAAGUGGCUAAAAAGGGCAUUUUAUCAUUUUAAAACAUGAAAUUCCAGUUAUUCUCUUAUCUUUCCUUCAUGAGAAAUGUCCAAUAAACAUUUCUAAGAAGACAUGUUAUCCAACUAUAAAAAGAGAGAAAGAAUAAAAUACAAAUACAGUGAAGUAUGUUUUCAUGCAAAUAUUUUAAGGGUCCUUUUCAAAAACAAAUCUAUCCUUUAUAUAUAAACAGUGUGUGGCAAUCCUGUUCAUCUGACAUGAACACAUACUGCUACAGAAAAUGCUUAUGAAAACUAUAUAUUGAGAUUAAAAGUGUGGUAAUCUAGGAUACUUUAUCUCACAGUUAAAUAACAUCACCAAAAUGUUUAUUAGAAAUAACUGCUGAAAGGCAGUUUUCUUGAAUUGUUUAAGAUAAAGCAGAAGUUGGCUUUUUAAAAAUCCCUUCUAAAUUCCAGCUACUUCUGUUUCUCAGGCUAUUUCUUCUGUGCCUGUCUAAAUACGACUUCUGCUUGCUGAAAGGAUGAUUCUCCCUCAAGCACAACAGACUCAAUUAACAAGUGGUCCUUCUGCUGACUCAUGGGGUACCGAGUUAAAAAAAAAAUUGGGAGCAAACAGUCAAGCCCAUAAAAUCAAGGAGUUAAAGAGUAUCUACAACAGAAGCAUAAGCUUCUCUAAUAAAGUCUUACUACAUUCAACUUUUUAACAUCUAGUAUGGCAGGAGUGAUGCAAGAGGGAGAUGGGCCAUUAUCUACUUUACAAGGUGUGAUAAUUAGGAAAUGGACUGUCUUGUACACAGGGCAUUAUCUCUUCACCCUAGUCUGUGGGGUCCUCCAAAAUCAACCAAUCAAGAAUGAUUUGCCAUAGUGCUGGGGCUUAUUGAAAAAAACUAUAAAAGAUCGAGGAAAUAGGGGAGAAUAACCCAGACACUCCCUUUUAUUACUAUAUAAAAAUCAAGUAUAAAUACAAAUACUCCAUCUAGGAUAAGUUCUAGAUUUACCUCGCAUUUUAAGUUCCUUGAUUGGUUCUAUCAGCUAAAAAAUACUUUCAUGAAAACCCUUCUAAUUUAUUUACGAAAGUGCUCAGGAAGCAUCUACUUGAAGAAAGAUGCUAUUUACAAACACUUGUCUAAGCUCACCCUGCAUUUGAUGCAUCCUUCUUGGUAAAUCCAAAUCUGAUCAUCAGCACCAACAUCUUCCAUGACCUGUAUUCUGAGAAGCUUCAGAUCCUCUAAGUUUCCAUUGGUGGACAUGAAUAACCCUGUUGCUUUGUUUCGAAGUCUGAAAUAAAUUCGUUUCUGGAAGACAGAGACCCCAGCGAUAGUCAUCUAUAAGUUGUACUGUUAGAAGCACAGAAUAAGCAUUAAUAGAGGCAGAAACCAAAGUGAGGUUGGAUUAAAGAUAACUGCUCUCCACAAGAGUCUCAGAGGGUUUAGGAUCUUCUCAAUGCAGAGUCUGUCAGAAUUUCAAAAUGCCGGGGGCAGGGAGCCUGCCUGUGGACAGCCCAGGGCGUGGGACCCGCCAUGUUUUGAUGUUGGGUGUGGUAGCAUUUCUGAAAGCCGUCACAACAUUUUAGCACCAGAAACAGAGCCCAAAUUUAAAGGAGUGGGGGGCGCAGAGACCAAGGUUAUACUUCAGUUUUAUACCGAAACUAAAAGGUUGAAUUAUGUUUACGAUAAAAGGUAAAGAUUGCAGAGAAGAAUACUCAAAGUCUAGAAAAGGAAUAAAGUACCUGAGCAAAAGGUCGUAGAGAACCUAUUUGGCGGCAGCCACUGAAUUCAUACCAAUUUGGGACUUCUGCUGGUGACAGUAGGAACUGCCGACCCCUGUAAUUGCCAUAUUCAUAAGUAACCCAUCUGGGAAAAAGAAGUGGAAAACCACAGUAAGCGGCAGUAUCCCUUUAACAGUUGCCCCUGAUUAUAUUUUUAUAGUGCUUCCAAGUUUUACACGGAGCUUUAUACUUUAAAUAUACAUUGGGAGAGAAAAAGAAACUAUUUUCUAAAACACUUAAAGCACCUACUUAUUGACAAAUAGCAAAUUCUUGGUACAUGAGUAUGCCACAAAGAUCCAUUUUUUUUUUUUUAAUGUUUAUUUAUUUUUGAGAGAGAGAGAGACCAUGAGUGGGGAAGGGCAGAGAGAGAGAGACACAGAAGCGAAAGCAGGCUCCAGGCUCUGAGCUGUCAGCACAGAGCCCGACACGGGGCUGGAACUCACGAACUGUGAUAUCAUGACCUGAGCCCAAGUCAGAUGCUUGACCUACUGAGCCAUCCAGGAUCCUAUCUUGAAGAGAAAUAGGACAAAUUACAAGCUCUGGCCAGGCUUGGCCUUUCCCUGGAGGUCUGGGUGUUCAUGCACUCCGAAGCUAAGGAGAGGACAGGCAGGCAGUUUUCUACUACAUGGAAAGGAAUAAUUGUUAAAAGGAGAGAAAAAAACCAGUGUGGAAGCUGCAUGUUCAAGCCAUCAUUUUAAAGAGGACAAGGGCACAGAAGUCCAUUCAUUUUCAGAAAAUAAAAAGCAGAUUAUGCUUGUUUUUCAAAUCACAGUUUGAAACUGACCCUAGUCUAAGCUCUAAUGAUAAUAAUCCUAAGAUCAUAAAUAAUACAUCAAAAAUUA
Molecule: RNA transcript, 7256 nt
Organism: Prionailurus viverrinus (fishing cat)
Lineage: Eukaryota; Metazoa; Chordata; Mammalia; Carnivora; Felidae
Gene: RTN4IP1
Gene name: reticulon 4 interacting protein 1
Exons: 12
Source: RefSeq, a predicted model, not a curated record